This 872-nucleotide ribosomal RNA is filed under the name uncultured bacterium. Its description in RNAcentral is "bacterial SSU rRNA". It matches the Rfam family "Bacterial small subunit ribosomal RNA", at positions 26 to 896 of the family's 1533-position model. The record is from RNAcentral.
AGAUUGAACGCUGGCGGCAGGCCUAACACAUGCAAGUCGAGCGCGAAAGCACUUCGGUGCGAGUAGAGCGGCGGACGGGUGAGUAACGCGUAGGAAUCUACCCAGUAGUGGGGGACAACAGUCGGAAACGGCUGCUAAUACCGCAUACGCCCCAUGGGGGAAAGCGGGGGAUCUUCGGACCUCGCGCUAUUGGAUGAGCCUGCGUAGGAUUAGCUAGUUGGUGGGGUAAAGGCCCACCAAGGCGACGAUCCUUAGCUGGUCUGAGAGGAUGAUCAGUCACACUGGAACUGAGACACGGUCCAGACUCCUACGGGAGGCAGCAGUGGGGAAUAUUGCGCAAUGGGGGAAACCCUGACGCAGCCAUGCCGCGUGUGUGAAGAAGGCCCUAGGGUUGUAAAGCACUUUCAAUUGGGAAGAAAAGCUUGUCGUUAAUAACGGCAAGCCCUGACAUUACCUUUAGAAGAAGCACCGGCUAACUCCGUGCCAGCAGCCGCGGUAAUACGGAGGGUGCGAGCGUUAAUCGGAAUUACUGGGCGUAAAGCGCGCGUAGGCGGUUGUUUAAGUCGGAUGUGAAAGCCCUGGGCUCAACCUGGGAACUGCAUUCGAUACUGGGCAACUAGAGUACGAGAGAGGGAGGUAGAAUUCCAUGUGUAGCGGUGAAAUGCGUAGAUAUGUGGAGGAAUACCAGUGGCGAAGGCGGCCUCCUGGCUCGAUACUGACGCUGAGGUGCGAAAGCGUGGGGAGCAAACAGGAUUAGAUACCCUGGUAGUCCACGCCGUAAACGAUGUCUACUAGCCGUUGGGAGACUUGAUUUCUUAGUGGCGCAGCUAACGCACUAAGUAGACCGCCUGGGGAGUACGGCCGCAAGGUUA